Molecule: ribosomal RNA, 198 nt
Filed under: uncultured bacterium
Lineage: Bacteria
Description: partial 16S ribosomal RNA
Rfam family: Bacterial small subunit ribosomal RNA
Source: RNAcentral
ACGCUCGACACCUACGGGAAGCAGCAGUGGGGAAUAUUGCACAAUGGGGGAAACCCUGAUGCAGCAACGCCGCGUGAAGGAAGACGGUUUUCGGAUUGUAAACUUCUGUUCUUAGUGAAGAUAGUGACGGUAGCUAAGGAGCAAGCCACGGCUAACUACGUGCCAACAGCCGCGGUAAUCUGAGCGGGCUGGCAAGGC